ANCACCGGCAGCUCAAGUGGUAGCCGCUUUUAUUGGGCNUAAAGCGUCCGUAGCCGGUCUGAUAAGUCUCUGGNGAAAUCCCGCAGNUUAACUGUGGGAAUUGCUGGAGAUNCUAUCAUGACUCGAGGUCGGGAGAGGCUGGAGGUACUCCCAGGGUAGGGGUGGAAUCCUGUAAUCCUGGGAGGACCACCUGUGGCGAAGGCGUCCAGCUGGAACGAACCUGACGGUGAGGGACGAAAGCCAGGGGCGCGAACCGGAUUAGAUACCCGGGUAGUCCUGGCCGUAAACGAUGUGGACUUGGUGUUGGGAUGGCUUCGAGCUGCCCCAGUGCCGAAGGGAAGCUGUUAAGUCCACCGCCUGGGAAGUACGGCCGCAAGGCUGAAACUUAAAGGAAUUGGCGGGGGAGCACCACAACGCGUGGAGCCUGCGGUUUAAUUGGAUUCAACGCCGGG
Molecule: ribosomal RNA, 452 nt
Filed under: uncultured Methanobacteriales archaeon
Lineage: Archaea; Methanobacteriati; Methanobacteriota; Methanobacteria; Methanobacteriales
Description: bacterial SSU rRNA
Rfam family: Archaeal small subunit ribosomal RNA
Source: RNAcentral